Callithrix jacchus (white-tufted-ear marmoset) is the source of this 300-nucleotide unclassified non-coding RNA. It matches the Rfam family "Metazoan signal recognition particle RNA". Rfam says of the family: The signal recognition particle (SRP) is a universally conserved ribonucleoprotein. It is involved in the co-translational targeting of proteins to membranes. The eukaryotic SRP consists of a 300-nucleotide 7S RNA and six proteins: SRPs 72, 68, 54, 19, 14, and 9. The record is from Ensembl. Lineage: Eukaryota; Metazoa; Chordata; Mammalia; Primates; Cebidae.
GCCCGGCACGGUGGCGCGUGCCUGUAGUCCCAGCUACUUGGGAGGCUGAAGUGGGAGAAUUGCUUGAGUUCAGGAAUUCUGGGCUGUAGUGCGCUAUGCCGAUGGGGUGUCUACACUAAGUUCGGCAUCAAUAUGGUGACCUACCGGGAGCGGGGAACCACUAGGUUGCCUAAGGAGGGGUGAACCGGCCCAGGUCGGAAACGGAGCAGGUCAAAACUGCGGCGCUGAGCAGUAGUGGGAUCGCGCCUCUGAAUACCCACUGCACUCCAGCCUGCGCAACACAGCGAGACCUCAUCUCUA